GUGCUCGCUGCAGCAGCACAUAUACUAAAAUUGGAAAGAUACAGAGAAGAUUGGCACGGACCCUGUGUGAGGAUGACACACAAAUUCAUGAAGCAUUCCGUAUUUUU
This 107-nucleotide small nuclear RNA is filed under the name Equus asinus (donkey). Lineage: Eukaryota; Metazoa; Chordata; Mammalia; Perissodactyla; Equidae. The record is from RNAcentral.